RNAcentral lists this ribosomal RNA (796 nucleotides) under uncultured bacterium. RNAcentral's name for it is "bacterial SSU rRNA". It matches the Rfam family "Bacterial small subunit ribosomal RNA", at positions 8 to 814 of the family's 1533-position model. The record is from RNAcentral.
AGAGUUUGUUCCUGGCUCAGGAUGAACGCUGGCGGCGUGCUUAACACAUGCAAGUCGAACGAAGAUGCCGGAGUGCUUGCUCUUUGGCAGACUGAGUGGCGGACGGGUGAGUAACGCGUGGGUAACCUGCCUUAUACAGGGGGAUAACAGUUGGAAACGACUGCUAAUACCGCAUAAGCGCACGGUAUCGCAUGAUACAGUGUGAAAAACUCCGGUGGUAUAAGAUGGACCCGCGUCUGAUUAGCUUGUUGGUGAGGUAACGGCCCACCAAGGCGACGAUCAGUAGCCGGCCUGAGAGGGUGAACGGCCACAUUGGGACUGAGACACGGCCCAAACUCCUACGGGAGGCAGCAGUGGGGAAUAUUGCACAAUGGGGGAAACCCUGAUGCAGCGACGCCGCGUGAGUGAUGAAGUAUUUCGGUAUGUAAAACUCUAUCAGCAGGGAAGAUAAUGACGGUACCUGACUAAGAAGCACCGGCUAAAUACGUGCCAGCAGCCGCGGUAAUACGUAUGGUGCAAGCGUUAUCCGGAUUUACUGGGUGUAAAGGGUGCGUAGGUGGUAUGGCAAGUCAGAAGUGAAAGGCUGGGGCUCAACCCCGGGACUGCUUUUGAAACUGUCAAACUAGAGUACAGGAGAGGAAAGCGGAAUUCCUAGUGUAGCGGUGAAAUGCGUAGAUAUUAGGAGGAACACCAGUGGCGAAGGCGGCUUUCUGGACUGAAACUGACGCUGAGGCGCGAAAGCGUGGGGAGCAAACAGGAUUAGAUACCCUGGUAGUCCACGCGGUAAACGAUGAAU